RNAcentral lists this long non-coding RNA (290 nucleotides) under Carica papaya (papaya). Its description in RNAcentral is "long non-coding RNA (CPAP_LNC008659)". The record is from RNAcentral. Lineage: Eukaryota; Viridiplantae; Streptophyta; Magnoliopsida; Brassicales; Caricaceae.
GGAUCCUAAAAAAGAGAGAGAAAAUAUUAAAAUGAUUGACAAGAGCAACAUGAUUUGUUCCCCAAAGGAGCCACCAUUUCUGACCCUCGAUCGAGCUAUAUAUUCUUCAUGUAACUCCAAGGGGUAUACAUACACUUAACUUGAAUGAUUUUCUGGCUUCUUGGAGAUGGAGUUUUGCUAGAAACCCUAGAGAAUGAUGUGGAAGAUGAAGAAGACAACUUGCAUGGUGAUGAGAAAAAGAAAAAUAUAUUUGAAUGACACAAAACCUAACAUACAUGUACAAUGAUUCA